Macaca mulatta (Rhesus monkey) is the source of this 1779-nucleotide non-coding RNA. The record is from RefSeq and is a predicted model, not a curated record. Lineage: Eukaryota; Metazoa; Chordata; Mammalia; Primates; Cercopithecidae.
GCAGGAUGACGUUGUUGCUGCUGUCAUAGUAGAGCACAGAGGUGGCGCUUAGCUUGGUGGGCGCGCAGCACGCCUUGGGGACUGCAUCUGGUGUCAUCAGGUGCACCUGGCCAGGAAGGGGGCACAGGCAGGGACAUGAGCCCAGUGACCUCCUCCAAGGACCCACCCAUCCCUGCCCCAGCUCCACCUGCGCCCUGCCUUGGCCAUCUCCAGGCCACAUGGGAGCAGCACAAUAAUAAUAACUAUUAACAGGAAUAAGAGCAUCCCUGAGGGCUCCAGGAGUGGGAGCCAUGGUGACCUGCAGUGCCCAGGGAGGGACACAUGGCAGGGGGUGUGGGGCAAGUGGGCAGGGCACUAAUGAGGGGCCUCAAGUCCCAGGCCAAGGGCUCAGACUUCCUCCUGGGGAUAAUGGGAAGGAGACCGCAUGGCCAGGUUUGUGCCUUAGUGAGGUCCCAGAGGGGGAGCCUGGAAGGACCACUUUCUUCUUUUUGUCCUUCAGACACCCAGCGGCUCUGCCUCCCACAUCCUGGCCUCCCUUCCCAGGCUCUGGGAGGCGAGGCUUCGGCCCCUCUCCUGUGCUGCUCCUUCUCCCAGAGGACUGCAUCUGCCCUCAGCACUUCAAGGCCCUGCACGUGCCUGCACCUCUCCACUCCCCGGGCUCAGCUUGGACCUCUCUUCUGAACUCCAGACUUGCGGAUCCUGCUCCCCUCCCCACUUCUGCACUUGGGGUCUAACGGGGCCUCAGCAGAACACAGAAUUCCUCCUGCCCUGACAUCAUAGUCCCCACCUGGGAGGCCUCCUGGAUGACUCCUCUCGCCUUCUCCCUUCCCUGGGAGCAGCCCCUGGCUCAACCUCCACCUCCAUGCUGCCUCGGACCACCUGCCCCGUCCAGCUGCCAUCACCUGCCAGGCAUCGCCUUUGAACAACCUCCUGCGAGAAAAACGUAAGGCUGUGGAAUACCAGGAACUGGGAUUCUAGGUAAAAAGUUAUAGAAGGAAGCCUCGGUGCCAGAAUCCACAAACACACAGAGCACUCCGCGGUGAGCAGCACCAGUGAUCCCAUCAGAAGCCUGCUUUCAUCAUUGAAGGUUGCCCCAGACACCGAAGCAUCAAAAGCCAGGGGAUACAGAGAAAAACAAAUGGCCAAGAGCAAAACUGGGGGAAAAGCCAAAGGUUGAGAGCCAAACCGUCCAGAUGCUCCGUGCCUGCGGUGUGGCACAGGUGUGAGUCUACAUGUAUUAGUGUGGCUGCGUGACGACAAGUUCCAGCAGAGCUGUGGGAAUUUACCCAUGUUACUGACUCCGUGCAGAGAAAGCCCCUUGAGAUGUGGAGCAGGUGGCCUCACUGCCCGCCCAGCCGGCUGGACCAGACCCCUCUCCACAGAGACCCUCACCCCAGGGGGCUGGGCAGGAUGGACAUGGUACUGACCAGGGACUGCAGGAUGGCGUGGUUGGUGGCGUUCAUGCAGGAGCCCAGUGGGAAGGAGCACUCCCCCUCACAGUAAUAGGCCGAGUAGCCUUGGGGGGCGAUGACCCAGUCCUAGAGGACAUGGGAGAAGAAACAAGGAGAGUCAGCAAUUACCAGCCAGCCAAGGUCCUGGAAGCUGACGUAGAGCUCGUGCCGACGGCAGACCUGCCGCCCGUGGGAGCCGUGGACGUCAUCUGCAGGGACAGAAGGGCAAGGUCUUUUCUGGGGUUCCUGCUCUGUGCAGCUACUAUGGGGUACCAGGGUCGGGGGAUGCCCUGAUUUGUCAUUUGUCAAAUAAACGAAUGACAGGAAA